RNAcentral lists this ribosomal RNA (255 nucleotides) under Escherichia coli. RNAcentral describes it as "partial 23S ribosomal RNA". It matches the Rfam family "Bacterial large subunit ribosomal RNA", at positions 2535 to 2789 of the family's 2925-position model. Lineage: Bacteria; Pseudomonadati; Pseudomonadota; Gammaproteobacteria; Enterobacterales; Enterobacteriaceae. The record is from RNAcentral.
GCUCAUCACAUCCUGGGGCUGAAGUAGGUCCCAAGGGUAUGGCUGUUCGCCAUUUAAAGUGGUACGCGAGCUGGGUUUAGAACGUCGUGAGACAGUUCGGUCCCUAUCUGCCGUGGGCGCUGGAGAACUGAGGGGGGCUGCUCCUAGUACGAGAGGACCGGAGUGGACGCAUCACUGGUGUUCGGGUUGUCAUGCCAAUGGCACUGCCCGGUAGCUAAAUGCGGAAGAGAUAAGUGCUGAACGCAUCUAAGCACG